CCAGUACCGUGAGGGAAAGGCGAAAAGAACCCCGGCGAGGGGAGUGAAAAAGAACCUGAAACCGUGUACGUACAAGCAGUGGGAGCACAGGUUUACCUGUGUGACUGCGUACCUUUUGUAUAAUGGGUCAGCGACUUAUAUUCUGUAGCAAGGUUAACCGUAUAGGGGAGCCGGAGGGAAACCGAGUCUUAAUUGGGCGUUAAGUUGCAGGGUAUAGACCCGAAACCCGGUGAUCUAGCCAUGGGCAGGUUGAAGGUUGGGUAACACUAACUGGAGGACCGAACCGACUAAUGUUGAAAAAUUAGCGGAUGACCUGUGGCUGGGGGUGAAAGGCCAAUCAAACCGGGAGAUAGCUGGUUCUCCCCGAAAGCUAUUUAGGUAGCGCCUCGUGAAUUCAUCUCCGGGGGUAGAGCACUGUUUCGGCUAGGGGGCCAUCCCGGCUUACCAACCCGAUGCAAACUGCGAAUACCGGAGAAUGUUAUCACGGGAGACACACGGCGGGUGCUAACGUCCGUCGUGAAGAGGGAAACAACCCAGACCGCCAGCUAAGGUCCCAAAGUCAUGGUUAAGUGGGAAACGAUGUGGGAAGGCCCAGACAGCCAGGAUGUUGGCUUAGAAGCAGCCAUCAUUUAAAGAAAGCGUAAUAGCUCACUGGUCGAGUCGGCCUGCGCGGAAGAUGUAACGGGGCUAAACCAU
This 696-nucleotide ribosomal RNA is filed under the name Salmonella enterica. RNAcentral's name for it is "partial 23S ribosomal RNA". It matches the Rfam family "Bacterial large subunit ribosomal RNA", at positions 495 to 1190 of the family's 2925-position model. Lineage: Bacteria; Pseudomonadati; Pseudomonadota; Gammaproteobacteria; Enterobacterales; Enterobacteriaceae. The record is from RNAcentral.